RNAcentral lists this transfer RNA (71 nucleotides) under Ictidomys tridecemlineatus (thirteen-lined ground squirrel). Its description in RNAcentral is "Spermophilus tridecemlineatus (thirteen-lined ground squirrel) tRNA". It matches the Rfam family "tRNA". Rfam says of the family: Transfer RNA (tRNA) molecules are approximately 80 nucleotides in length. Their secondary structure includes four short double-helical elements and three loops (D, anti-codon, and T loops). Further hydrogen bonds mediate the characteristic L-shaped molecular structure. tRNAs have two regions of fundamental functional importance: the anti-codon, which is responsible for specific mRNA codon recognition, and the 3' end, to which the tRNAs corresponding amino acid is attached (by aminoacyl-tRNA synthetases). tRNAs cope with the degeneracy of the genetic code in two manners: having more than one tRNA (with a specific anti-codon) for a particular amino acid; and 'wobble' base-pairing, i.e. permitting non-standard base-pairing at the 3rd anti-codon position. The record is from Rfam by way of RNAcentral. Lineage: Eukaryota; Metazoa; Chordata; Mammalia; Rodentia; Sciuridae.
GGAGGGUAGCUUAGUGGUAGAGCCCCUGCCCAGCUUGCCUGAGGUCCUGGGUUCAAUUCCCAGCACCACCA